This 565-nucleotide ribosomal RNA is filed under the name uncultured bacterium. RNAcentral's name for it is "bacterial SSU rRNA". It matches the Rfam family "Bacterial small subunit ribosomal RNA", at positions 108 to 689 of the family's 1533-position model. The record is from RNAcentral.
GAGUAACACGUGACUAACCUACCUUCGAAUGGGGGAUAACUCCGGGAAACCGGGGCUAAUACCGCAUAAGAUCCUGGAGCUGAAAUGCUCAGGGACCAAAGGAGCAAUUCGCUUGAAGAGGGGGUCGCGGCUGAUUAGCUAGUUGGCGGGGUAACGGCCCACCAAGGCGGUGAUCAGUAGCCGGCCUGAGAGGGCGCACGGCCACACUGGAACUGAAACACGGUCCAGACUCCUACGGGAGGCAGCAGUGGGGAAUUUUGCACAAUGGGGGAAACCCUGAUGCAGCAACGCCGCGUGGAGGAUGAAGCCCCUUGGGGCGUAAACUCCUUUCGAUCGGGACGAUAAUGACGGUACCGGAAGAAGAAGCACCGGCUAACUCUGUGCCAGCAGCCGCGGUAAUACAGAGGGUGCAAGCGUUGUUCGGAAUUAUUGGGCGUAAAGGGCGCGUAGGCGGUGCGGUAAGUAUGCUGUGAAAUCUCUGGGCUCAACUCAGAGCUGGCAGCGUAGACUGCCGUGCUGGAGUGUGGGAGAGGUGCGUGGAAUUCCCGGUGUAGCGGUGAAAUGC